AUGACCAUGUCAUGUUAAAACACUAGUUCUUGUCUGACCACCAAAGUUAAGCAACAUUGAGCUUGGUCAGUACCUAGAUGGGUGACAACUUGGGAAUAGUAGGUGUUGUA
Molecule: non-coding RNA, 110 nt
Organism: Acanthosepion pharaonis
Lineage: Eukaryota; Metazoa; Mollusca; Cephalopoda; Sepiida; Sepiidae
Source: the annotation of a GenBank genome assembly